GAUGAACGCUGGCGGCGUGCUUAACACAUGCAAGUCGAACGAAGCACUUUUAAUUCUUCGGAAGAGAAAGUGACUGAGUGGCGGACGGGUGAGUAACGCGUGGGUAACCUGCCUUAUACAGGGGGAUAACAGUUAGAAAUGACUGCUAAUACCGCAUAAGCCGAUAGAGUCGCAUGACUUAGACGGAAAAGAUUUAUCGGUAUAAGAUGGACCCGCGUCUGAUUAGCUAGUUGUUGAGUUAAUGGCCCACCAAGGCGACGAUCAGUAGCCGGCGUGGGAGAGUGAAAGGCCACAUUGGGACUGAGACACGGCCCAAACUCCUACGGGAGGCAGCAGUGGGGAAUAUUGCACAAUGGGGGAAACCCUGAUGCAGCAACGCCGCGUGAAGGAAGAAGCAUUUCGGUAUGUAAACUUCUAUCAGCAGGGAGGAAAAUGACGGUACCUGACUAAGAAGCCCCGGCUAACUACGUGCCAGCCGCCGCAGUAA
RNAcentral lists this ribosomal RNA (487 nucleotides) under uncultured bacterium. RNAcentral describes it as "partial 16S ribosomal RNA". It matches the Rfam family "Bacterial small subunit ribosomal RNA", at positions 28 to 523 of the family's 1533-position model. The record is from RNAcentral.